CGCCGCGGUAAUUCCAGCUCCAAUAGCGUAUAUUAAAGUUGUUGUAGUUAAAAAGCUCGUAGUUGAAUUUCGGGGUUAGUAGGUUGGUCAUGCCUCUGGUAUGUACUGGUCUCACUGAUUCCUCCUUCCUGAUGAACCUUAAUGCCAUUAAUUUGGUGUUUUGGGGAAUUUGGACUGUUACUUUGAAAAAAUUAGAGUGUUUAAAGCAAGCUAACGCUUGAAUACAUUAGCAUGGAAUAAUGAAAUAGGACGUUCGAUCCUAUUUUGUUGGUUUCUAGGAUUGACGUAAUGAUUAAUAGGGAUAGUUGGGGGCAUUAGUAUUCAAUUGUCAGAGGUGAAAUUCUUGGAUUUAUUGAAGACUAACUACUGCGAAAGCAUUUGCCAAGGAUGUUUUCAUUAAUCAAGAACGAAAGUUAGGGGAUCGAAGACGAUCAGAUACCGUCGUAGUCUUAACCAUAAACUAUGCCGACUAGGGAUCGGAUGAUGUUAAUUUUUUAAUGACUCAUUCGGCGCCUUACG
This 519-nucleotide unclassified non-coding RNA is filed under the name uncultured Glomeromycotina. RNAcentral's name for it is "SSU rRNA". It matches the Rfam family "Eukaryotic small subunit ribosomal RNA", at positions 572 to 1092 of the family's 1831-position model. Lineage: Eukaryota; Fungi; Glomeromycota. The record is from RNAcentral.